Molecule: ribosomal RNA, 488 nt
Filed under: uncultured bacterium
Lineage: Bacteria
Description: partial 16S ribosomal RNA
Rfam family: Bacterial small subunit ribosomal RNA
Source: RNAcentral
GACGAACGCUGGCGGCGUGCUUAACACAUGCAAGUCGAACGGAAAGGCCCUGCUUUUGUGGGGUGCUCGAGUGGCGAACGGGUGAGUAACACGUGAGUAACCUGCCCUUGACUUUGGGAUAACUUCAGGAAACUGGGGCUAAUACCGGAUAGGAGCUCCUGCUGCAUGGUGGGGGUUGGAAAGUUUCGGCGGUUGGGGAUGGACUCGCGGCUUAUCAGCUUGUUGGUAGGGUAGUGGCUUACCAAGGCUUUGACGGGUAGCCGGCCUGAGAGGGUGACCGGCCAAACUGGAACUGAGACACGGUACAGACGACUAAGGGAGGCAGCAGUAGGGAAUGUUCCGCAAAGGGCGAAAGCCUGACGGAGCAACGCCGCGUGAGUGAUGAAGGUCUUGGGAUCGUAAAACUCUGUGAUGAGGGAAGAACAAAGGUGUAAGUAACUAUGCACGUCUUGACGGUACCUAAUCAGAAAGCCAGGGCUAACUACGUG